Syngnathoides biaculeatus (alligator pipefish) is the source of this 896-nucleotide long non-coding RNA. RefSeq lists it as uncharacterized. NCBI's taxonomy places the organism in Eukaryota, Metazoa, Chordata, Actinopteri, Syngnathiformes, Syngnathidae. The record is from RefSeq and is a predicted model, not a curated record. The transcript is spliced from 7 exons.
ACCGAGCAUGAGAUCACACUCAAGUUCACUUUGGUGCAAGAUGAACAACUGGAUACUCACAGCGUUGAUGCCUCUGUCUUUCACCUCACGGCUGCUUUCUGAUUCAUACAGCGCUGCGGAGAGAAAAGCUUCCUCUAUCUCACCCCAAACUGUUGACAGUCUUGGAGAAGAUGCGGACAAAGAACUCUCCGGGCUGGUUGGGCCGAUAUGUGGACGCCACCAGGACAUAGUGACCCGGUUCCAGGUGCACCUUCCUCCACACAGCCCUGCAGGUCAUCGACAGGGUCCACGGUACUCAACAAAGCCCCAUGGAUUCCUCAGCCUCAGAAGCAAAAUUUCAUCUGCCUCGUGCCUCACCUGAAAACACAAGAAAUCCUCAUCAAGGGUGAUCAUACGUUGUCAUCAUUUGCAAUCAGAUGAGACUUGGCUGUCAGUUUCUUCCACCACUUGACACUAGAUGGUAGCACACUCCAGCUACACUUGCCAAUGAAGCUUCCUGACCGAUCAGAUCGUGCCAACGAUAAAGCUUGUCCUCUUGGAGUUCGCCUCAGCGUGUCAUCCUUUUCCAUAACCCACUUUGCACCGCUCCUUCAUCUUCGACCCACAGCACGUUAAUGGCGCAGGUGAUGGACAUUGUUAACCUGCCCCACGGCAGAUCUGGCUUGGGACCAUCCUAGUUUGCACUGUUUGCGGCCCUCAUUUUUUAUUUUGGUGUAAGUGGAAUGCUUUUAUUGUGACCUUUUUUUGUGACUAUUGUGACAUGAAAAUUAAAAAAAAAACCCUUUUCUUGAAGUAAAUCUAAAUAUGCCAUAGUUAUCCUUGUGCGCAUUAACAGGCUACUUCCUGGUUUAUUCAUGGAGGAUGACCAAAGAUGAUGGAACCACAGGAUGUUGUGA